This 253-nucleotide ribosomal RNA is filed under the name uncultured bacterium. RNAcentral's name for it is "partial 16S ribosomal RNA". It matches the Rfam family "Bacterial small subunit ribosomal RNA", at positions 524 to 776 of the family's 1533-position model. The record is from RNAcentral.
GACGAGCCGUACAAACGUUAUUCGGAAUCACUGGGCUUAAAGGGUGCGUAGGCGGCGCGGAAAGUAGGGUGUGAAAUCCCUCGGCUCAACCGAGGAAUUGCGCCCUAAACUACCGUGCUCGAGGGAGAUAGAGGUGAGCGGAACUUAGGGUGGAGCGGUGAAAUGCGUUGAUAUCCUAAGGAACACCGGUGGCGAAAGCGGCUCACUGGAUCUCUUCUGACGCUGAGGCACGAAAGCUAGGGUAGCGAACGGG